GAUGAACGCUGGCGGCGUGCUUAAUACAUGCAAGUCGAGCGAACGGACGAGAAGCUUGCUUCUCUGAUGUUAGCGGCGGACGGGUGAGUAACACGUGGAUAACCUACCUAUAAGACUGGGAUAACUUCGGGAAACCGUAGCUAAUACCGGAUAAGAUUUUGAACCGCAUGGUUCAAAAGUGAAAGACGGUCUUGCGGUCACUUAUAGAUGCAUCCCCGCUGCAUUAUCUAGUUGGUAAGGUAACGGCUUAUCAAGGCAACGAUGCAUAGCCGACCUGAGAGGGUGAUCGGCCACACUGGAACUGAGACACGGUCCAGACUACUACGGGAGGCAGCAGUAGGGAAUCUUCCGCAAUGGGCGAAAGCCUGACGGAGCAACGCCGCGUGAGUGAUGAAGGUCUUCGGAUCGUAAAACUCUGUUAUUAGGGAAGAACAUAUGUGUAAGUAACUGUGCACAUCUUGACGGUACCUAAUCAGAAAGCCACGGCUAACUACGUG
This 497-nucleotide ribosomal RNA is filed under the name uncultured bacterium. Its description in RNAcentral is "partial 16S ribosomal RNA". It matches the Rfam family "Bacterial small subunit ribosomal RNA", at positions 28 to 507 of the family's 1533-position model. The record is from RNAcentral.